UUUCGUGUGCACCUCAUGCUUUACCUGCAAGGAAUGUUGAGGUCCUGCACGGCAAGGGCAAGCACUAAUUAUUUCUCAUGCAUUGCAAGGAGUGCGGAUAAUCUCUGCCAAUGUUGCUGCCAGGGCAUCCAACCAAUGAAGACCUGCUCAAUUGGGGUUUGAAGAGCUGAACGCCGAGCUCCGUUACAGGUUCUACAGCUGCUUAUCUAUUUUAUUCUUUUCUGCCCUUCCGCACUUGCUUUGUAAAAGAGGGGGACCGCACUUUCAACAAUGCUGAAGGAGCAUUUACAGGUUUCUGAAUAUCAGAGGCUCUAUUUGCGUGAGCAUUUCAUUGGCGAUGAGGUGAAAGCGGAGGAUGCGGUGCGGGCUGUGCAUUCAGCAAAUUUGUGAGAGCCAGCGGGCGGGGUUUAGUCUGUGCAGUGAGACAUGAAAAUGCUUUGGAAGAAAUGUUGAGAUCCUCCACGGCAAGCACGGCUUCGGGAUAAUCUCUGUCAAUGUUGCCGCUAGCAUCUGAAGAAAAGUCUUGAGUAGGGUUUGAGAAGCAGAAUGCAGAGCUCAUUGUAAUGUCCGAACUGCAACAGCAGAGCACCAGAAUUUCGGCACUCAUUAUUCAAAUUGGGGGAACCGUCAGUCCUGUUUGCGUUCAAAGAGGGUCAUCAGCAGUGCCUGCUUUCAACUGUAUUAUAUAGUCAGUCGAUUUGUGCAACUAUGAGAUUGCCGAUGACUUUCCGCCGCCGCCGGCCAUCUCCUGCACUUGCUUUGUAAAAGAGGGAGCCCAGACUUCCAAGGAUGCCAAGGGGGCAUUUCCAG
Molecule: long non-coding RNA, 810 nt
Organism: Cryptomeria japonica (Japanese cedar)
Lineage: Eukaryota; Viridiplantae; Streptophyta; Pinopsida; Cupressales; Cupressaceae
Exons: 3
Source: RefSeq, a predicted model, not a curated record